UCGAGUUAGGGUCUAUGGCCCGACCUCCAACCCCGUGUUUAAAUACCAUGUUGCUUUGGCGGGCCCGUCCUUGGACCGCCGGCGGUCUUUGUUGACCCCUGGCCCGUGCCCGUCGAGAGCCCCUAUCAAACCUUUGACCCAAAUGUGUCGUCUGAGUUCAAACUUUAAUAGUUA
This 174-nucleotide unclassified non-coding RNA is filed under the name uncultured fungus. RNAcentral describes it as "sequence contains ITS1, 5.8S rRNA gene". The record is from RNAcentral. Lineage: Eukaryota; Fungi.